This 3195-nucleotide long non-coding RNA is filed under the name Octopus vulgaris (common octopus). The record is from RNAcentral. Lineage: Eukaryota; Metazoa; Mollusca; Cephalopoda; Octopoda; Octopodidae.
UAAUUCUAACAUAUAUAUAGUAUUAAUCUAAUUUUGAUUAUCAGGGAAGUCAAUCCCUUCACCUUACAUCAUUGAUAACUUUCACUAAAGAAUGAACAUGACUGUCUUCUCUACUCCUAAAAGAAUUUUGUUGUCCACUGACUAGGAGUAAUCAGAGGCAAAAAUUCAUUCAUAUAUUUCAGAGUUACAGCAACCUACAAACAGAAGUUCACAUGUUUGUAUAUACUUUUACAAAUAUCAUACCUUGGUUCUCUGAGGACUAGGUUCCCUGUUGACAAGCCUCUGAUAUUAAAUAAAAUGUUGAACACUUAUAGCAUGCUAAUUAGUAGCUCCACUUCUCUGAAGCUACUGAAUUAGAUGUGUUUAUAAUUGGAUUGGCUGCUUGUUUCUCUAGGAAUAUUUGAGUGACACACACACCUCUGAUGUGACUUCUGUAUGGGUUGAAAAUUGAUUAAGGCCGUUCAUUUUUCCAAUUUGUGAAGAUAUAGGUAAAUUUGACAUGUUUGCAUGUCUACUACAUAGGCUUAUAUAUAAAUGUUUGAAAAAAAUACCUUUAAGUGAUGCAAAUGAACAGUUAGGCAAAGGUGUUAUGUAAUCAUCUUUUCAUAUUUCAGGAAAAUUCCCUUUUUCAUAUAGAAUGUUUUCCUGAAAUAUGAUAGGAUCAUUAAAUAACUUAUGUAAGGUGAUAAUAUGUUUUCUCUUUGUUUUUGUAAAUUAACAUCACUUUAGAUAUUUAGCCCAACUCUUUAUCUACAUUGCUCAAAGGGUUUUUUUUCCAAACAUACAAUUUGGCCACAUUGCAAUGCUUCAAAUAAAUUACAAUACUCUUUGGCACACACACACACACACACACACUUGGAUGUACAACUAAGAGAAAGAGUAUUCAACAGAUACAUUAGAAUUCAUUUGAAAUUUAUCAGUCACUCCAUUGCUAUUCAGAUAAUUUAUUUCUUGCUUGAAGGAUUUACACUUGCAUGCACAUGCAUACACAUAAAGGAGAGAUGACGGUCUUUAUUUUUUUAAAGUUUUGGGGUUAUUGCAAUAAGUAAUUACUUGUCAUGAAAUCACAUUUGCUAAUGCAUAGUUAAAAUGUUUGGUGAUGAUAAAGCCAUGUUGGUAAUUUAAUCUGAAGUAUUAUUUGUUGAAGAUAUAUCAUGUUUUUUUUUUUGAAGAAGAAAUAAAAAAAAAUAUUUUGAAAUAUUUUUUGACACAGCAUAAAGACAAUUAUUUGAGAUUAAUGAUGUUAAGUGAAUGAACAAUUAAUUACUGGUUCUAAUUUAUUUUCAUUGAACUCCUCCAGUGAAGUUUUGAAUGCUGGACAUUGGGGUUUCAAACUAAGUAUAGUAAAACCUCCAGUUGAAUAUUCUACCAUCGCAAUAAAUCUUUUUUUUUUUUGUUUUCAUAGUUAACGAAUAAUGUUAAGUAAUUUUCUUAUAUUAGAAAGAGCUGUCCAUGUUAGGCCAGCAAAUUUAGUUUUUUUCUAAUCAGAUUUAUCUGUUGGGAAAGCUGCUAAGUUUCUUUUUCACUAAUUAUCUAUUUUGUGGUGUGUGUUUUUAUCUUUUAGUCGGCUGGGAAGGCAGUGCCUGUAACCCUUUACAUAGUCUCCAAGACUGGUGGAAGAAGGGGAGGAAAGUAUUCUCAUAGGGAUACUGGCCCAAAUGCUUGCAACAGAGUGGACUCUGUUAAAAAUAUCCCAAAGUAUCACAUGGUGGUGUUAAUCCAGGUAACAGAUUAAGUCUGUUACUCAGAUAGGCCAUGGCAGGAUUUGAACUCAAUGUAAUGAGCUGGAAGAAAUAUUGCAAGGUAUCCAGUCUGACUUUCUUACAGUUCUCCCUACUCACCUCCUUGGAUUUGUACUUGUUUUUCCAUUGAUUCAGAAAGGAAUGAAAGGCUAAUUUAAACUCAGUGUGAAGAGAGUUGGAACAAAUACCACUAGGUAUUUUAUUUGAUUCUCCAACUACUCUGCCAGUUUGCUUCUAUUUAUUCAUGUUAUUUUUUUUGCUAACGAUAUAAGUUAGAUAGUUUUGUAAAAACCUGUUUGUCAGUAUGGAAUCAUGAAGCUGACAAUUUAGUUCACUGGAUGAGGAAAGUUGAAUAAUUGGAUUUGCAGGUGUUGAUUUGAUUUUUUUGAUUCUCAAGUCCAUCAUUAAAAAAAGUUUUAAAAAAACAACAAAAAAAAUUGUCAUUCACUACACACUAAGUUCCACUAAAAACUGAACUGGUAUCUUAUCUCUUCAGACACUUUUAAUCAUGCCUUUGUGAAAUCAAAAAUUUCUAAAUUUCUUCCUACGCAUUUGAAAAGUAAGAAAUGAGAAAUUUUAUCAAGAAUUAUAUAAUCACGUUAACUGCAAAUUUCUAUGAACCAAAAAGCAUGGCAAACGCAUCAUGGAAACAUAUUCAUAAUAUAAAUUCACAAACUACAACACUGUCAUUUCUUACAUAACUUUAAUUAGAUAAUUUAUUUUAUAUUACAUUGUCUCAUUCACUAAAUUGAUAGAUUGCUUUUUUUUAACAAACUAUAAAACAAACAUUUUGUCUUUUCCUGAAAGCAAAAAUUUUUAUGAUCUCAUAAAAAAGAUUGAUUUAAAUUUGAUAAAGGAAAAUUGGAAUGAAUUCUUUUUGUUUUUUCUUCGUCUAUGCUGCCAAAAGAGGAGGAAGAAGAUCCAAGAAUGAAGCAUUAGAUGUAAAAUAAUUGUUCAUUUUUGCUUCUCAUUAAGAUUUGGAGACCAUUGAUAUGUUCCAUGUAUCCUAAGUUUUAAACUGGUUGUGGUGGAAGGAUCUAACAGAAUGGCAACACUUAUUAACUUCGUUGCUUUACUUUUGAGCUUCAUUUUUGCAUAAUAAUUAUUUUCAAUCAUUUGUUUCAUCCUCACUGGGUUUAUUUAAAUGACAAAAGAAAAGAAAGAAAAAGGAAAAAGAAAGUAAAUUAUUGGUAAGUGAAAAAAGAAAAAAAUAAUGGUUAAGUUUUGGUUGGAUUUGUGUUUUACUUCUUUGCUGAAAUGUAAAAAUUGUUACAUUAUUGGAUGUCAUGAGAAGUAGAAGAGAGGAGAUAAAAAAAAAUGGGGGAUGCUUCUUUCUGUGAAAGAUUCUACACUUAAUUUUUUUUCAUUGCAUUUUGUGAUCAGAAAACCUUUCAUAUGUCCUUCCUCUUAUUAGUGAUAAUGAUUAGAUAAAUAAAACUGUCAUCUGUCAUAA